This 627-nucleotide ribosomal RNA is filed under the name uncultured beta proteobacterium. Its description in RNAcentral is "bacterial SSU rRNA". It matches the Rfam family "Bacterial small subunit ribosomal RNA", at positions 902 to 1532 of the family's 1533-position model. Lineage: Bacteria; Pseudomonadati; Pseudomonadota; Betaproteobacteria. The record is from RNAcentral.
CAAAGGAAUUGACGGGGCCCGCACAAGCGGUGGAGCAUGUGGUUAAUUCGAAGCAACGCGAAGAACCUUACCAGGUCUUGACAUACUCGUGCUAUUCCUAGAGAUAGGAAGUUCCUUCGGGACACGGGAUACAGGUGGUGCAUGGUUGUCGUCAGCUCGUGUCGUGAGAUGUUGGGUUAAGUCCCGCAACGAGCGCAACCCUUAUUGUUAGUUGCCAUCAUUAAGUUGGGCACUCUAGCGAGACUGCCGGUAAUAAACCGGAGGAAGGUGGGGAUGACGUCAAAUCAUCAUGCCCCUUAUGGGUAGGGCUACACACGUCAUACAAUGGCCGGUACAGAGGGCUGCCAACCCGCGAGGGGGAGCCAAUCCCAGAAAACCGGUCGUAGUCCGGAUCGCAGUCUGCAACUCGACUGCGUGAAGUCGGAAUCGCUAGUAAUCGCGGAUCAGCUUGCCGCGGUGAAUACGUUCCCGGGUCUUGUACACACCGCCCGUCACACCAUGGGAGCGGGUUCUGCCAGAAGUAGUUAGCCUAACCGCAAGGAGGGCGAUUACCACGGCAGGGUUCGUGACUGGGGUGAAGUCGUAACAAGGUAGCCGUAUCGGAAGGUGCGGCUGGAUCACCUCCUU